Molecule: ribosomal RNA, 526 nt
Filed under: uncultured bacterium
Lineage: Bacteria
Description: bacterial SSU rRNA
Rfam family: Bacterial small subunit ribosomal RNA
Source: RNAcentral
GUUUGAUCCUGGCUCAGAGCGAACGUUAGCGGCAGGCUUAACACAUGCAAGUCGAGCGACAAAGGGGCUUCGGCCCUGAGUAGAGCGGCGGACGGGUGCGUAACACGUGGAUAAUCUGCCUCGUGGCGGGGGAUAACAGUCCGAAAGGACUGCUAAUACCGCAUGUCAGGUCGGAAACCCCGGUUUCUGACGAAAAAGAGGGCGCCCGCAAGGGGCUCUCACCACGAGAUGAGUCCGCGGCCCAUCAGCUAGUUGGCGGUGUAAUAGACCACCAAGGCUAAGACGGGUAGCUGGUCUGAGAGGAUGACCAGCCACACUGGGACUGAGACACGGCCCAGACUCCUACGGGAGGCAGCAGUGGGGAAUAUUGGACAAUGGGCGAAAGCCUGAUCCAGCCAUGCCGCGUGAGUGAUGAAGGUCUUCGGAUCGUAAAGCUCUGUGGGAAGGGACGAAAAAGCCGUAACCUAAUACGUUAGGUCUUGACGGUACCUUCUUAGCAAGCACCGGCUAACUCCGUGCCAGCACG